RNAcentral lists this ribosomal RNA (466 nucleotides) under uncultured bacterium. Its description in RNAcentral is "partial 16S ribosomal RNA". It matches the Rfam family "Bacterial small subunit ribosomal RNA", at positions 339 to 795 of the family's 1533-position model. The record is from RNAcentral.
CUACGGGGGGCUGCAGUGGGGAAUAUUGGACAAUGGGGGAAACCCUGAUCCAGCAAUGCCGCGUGUGUGAAGAAGGCCUGCGGGUUGUAAAGCACUUUCGGUUGGGAGGACUGCUUCUAGCACUAAUAUUGUUGGAAGUUGACGUUACCUUCAGAAGAAGCACCGGCUAACUCCGUGCCAGCAGCCGCGUGUAAUACGGAGGGUGCAGGCGUUAAUCGGAAUUACUGGGCGUAAAGCGCGCGUAGGCGGCUAGAUCAGUCGGGUGUGAAAGCCCCGGGCUUAACCUGGGAACUGCAUCCGAUACUGUCUAGCUUGAGUACAGGAGAGGAGAGUGGAAUUCCACAUGUAGCGGUGAAAUGCGUAGAUAUGUGGAGGAACACCAAUGGCGAAGGCAGCUCUCUGGCCUGAUACUGACGCUGAGGUGCGAAAGCGUGGGGAGCAAACAGGAUUAGAUACCCCCGUAGUC